This 1191-nucleotide ribosomal RNA is filed under the name uncultured soil eukaryote. RNAcentral's name for it is "SSU rRNA". It matches the Rfam family "Eukaryotic small subunit ribosomal RNA", at positions 30 to 1109 of the family's 1831-position model. The record is from RNAcentral.
GCUUGUCUCAAAGAUUAAGCCAUGCAUGUCUAAGUAUAAGUGUGUAGUACAGCGAAACUGCAGAUGGCUCAUUAAAUCAGUUAUUGUUUAAGCGAUGUUUUCUAUUUAUUUUUAUUGGGGUCAAACUCAAUAGGGAUAGAUAUGUGUGGAUAACUGUGGUAAUUCUAGAGCUAAUACAUGUAAACCCAUACCCGACUAUGACGCAAGUUAUGGAAAGGUUGUCUUUAUUAGAAUUAAAACCAAUUUACUCAAAGGUGAAUCAGAAUAACGGUAUUAUCACAAAUCACACAGAUCGUCAUUCCACUCGAUGGAGAUCGAUUGAGUACUCUUCACGGAGUAUUUGAUCGUGACGACGUUUCGCUCAAACUUCUGCCCUAUCAACUUUGGAUGGUAGUAUAAAGGACUACCAUGGUAAUAACGGGUAACGGAGAAUUAGGGUUCGAUUCCGGAGAAGGAGCCUGAGAAACGGCUACUACUUCUAAGGAAGGCAGCAGGCGCGCAAAUUACCCAAUCCCGACACGGGGAGGUAGUGACAAUAAAUAACAAUACAGGUCUUGAAUAAAGACGUGUAAUUGGAAUGAGAGCAAUGUAAAUAUCUCAACGAGUAACAAUUGGAGGGCAAGUCUGGUGCCAGCAGCCGCGGUAAUUCCAGCUCCAAUAGCGUAUAUUAAAGUUGUUGCAGUUAAAGAGCUCGUAGUUGGAUCUUGGAGCAUUAAUAGGAGUCGGUCCCUCUUUAUCUUCAAAAAUAGAGAGGAUGUAACUGACUCCCGAUGCUCAUUUAUUUCCUUAGUCUAUCUUCGGAUAGGUUAAGGAUCGUUUACUUUGAAAAAAUUAGAGUGUUUAAAGCAGGCAAUAUCUUUUUGCCAUUGAAUAAUUCAGCAUGGGAUAAUAGAAUAAGACUCGUAUCUUUAAUUUCUAUUGGUUUCUAAAGAUACAGUAAUGAUUAAUAGGAACGGUCGGGGACAUUGAUAUUUCAUUGUCAGAGGUGAAAUUCGUAGAUUAAUGAAAGAUCAACAUAGGCGAAAGCAUUUGUCAAGGACGUUUCCAUUAAUCAAGAACGAAAGUUUGAGGAUCGAAGACGAUCAGAUACCGUCGUAGUUCAAACUAUAAACGAUGCCGGCCAAGAAUCGGGGAACGUUUACAAUUCUUGGAUGACUCCCUCGGCGCUCUGUGAGAAAUCAUAAGCGUUUG